This 305-nucleotide ribosomal RNA is filed under the name uncultured bacterium. RNAcentral's name for it is "bacterial SSU rRNA". It matches the Rfam family "Bacterial small subunit ribosomal RNA", at positions 333 to 631 of the family's 1533-position model. The record is from RNAcentral.
GCAGUCCUACGGGAGGCAGCAGUAGGGAAUUUUCGUCAAUGGGGGGAACCCUGAACGAGCAAUGCCGCGUGAGUGAAGAAGGCCUUCGGGUCGUAAAGCUCUGUUGUAAGAGAAAAACGGUAAUGAUAGGGAAUGAUCAUUAAGUGAUGGUAUCUUACGAGGAAGCCACGGCUAACUACGUGCCAGCAGCCGCGGUAAUACGGAGGAUGCGAGCGUUAUCCGGAUUUAUUGGGUUUAAAGGGUGCGUAGGCGGAAUGCCAAGUCAGCGGUAAAAUCGCGGGGCUCAACCUCGCUCCGCCGUUGAA